CGCUGGCGGCGUGCCUAAUACAUGCAAGUCGAACGCACUCUCGUUUAGAUUGAAGGAGCUUGCUCCUGAUUGAUAAACAUUUGAGUGAGUGGCGGACGGGUGAGUAACACGUGGGUAACCUGCCCUAAAGUGGGGGAUAACAUUUGGAAACAGAUGCUAAUACCGCAUAAAACCUAACACCGCAUGGUGUAGGGUUGAAAGAUGGUUUCGGCUAUCACUUUAGGAUGGACCCGCGGUGCAUUAGUUAGUUGGUGAGGUAAAGGCUCACCAAGACCGUGAUGCAUAGCCGACCUGAGGGGUAAUCGGCCACACUGGGACUGAGACACGGCCCAGACUCCUACGGGAGGCAGCAGUAGGGAAUCUUCCACAAUGGACGAAAGUCUGAUGGAGCAACGCCGCGUGAGUGAAGAAGGUUUUCGGAUCGUAAAACUCUGUUGUUGGAGAAGAAUGUAUCUGAUAGUAACUGAUCAGGUAGUGACGGUAUCCAACCAGAAAGCCACGGCUAACUACGUG
RNAcentral lists this ribosomal RNA (513 nucleotides) under uncultured bacterium. RNAcentral's name for it is "bacterial SSU rRNA". It matches the Rfam family "Bacterial small subunit ribosomal RNA", at positions 34 to 507 of the family's 1533-position model. The record is from RNAcentral.